UACGUAGGUGGCAAGCGUUGUCCGGAUUUACUGGGCGUAAAGAGCGCGCAGGCGGUCGUACAAGUCGCGUGUGAAAGCCCCUGGCUCAACUGGGGAGGGUCACGCGAUACUGUUCGACUCGAAGGCAGGAGAGGGAAGUGGAAUUCCCGGUGUAGUGGUGAAAUGCGUAGAUAUCGGGAGGAACACCAGUGGCGAAGGCGACUUCCUGGCCUGUUCUUGACGCUGAGGCGCGAAAGCUAGGGUAGCAAACGGG
Molecule: ribosomal RNA, 253 nt
Filed under: uncultured bacterium
Lineage: Bacteria
Description: partial 16S ribosomal RNA
Rfam family: Bacterial small subunit ribosomal RNA
Source: RNAcentral